RNAcentral lists this unclassified non-coding RNA (253 nucleotides) under uncultured delta proteobacterium. Its description in RNAcentral is "contains 16S-23S intergenic spacer region". It matches the Rfam family "Bacterial small subunit ribosomal RNA", at positions 524 to 776 of the family's 1533-position model. Lineage: Bacteria; Deltaproteobacteria. The record is from RNAcentral.
UACGUAGGUGGCAAGCGUUGUCCGGAAUUAUUGGGCGUAAAGCGCGUGUAGGCGGCUUGGCAAGUCGGAUGCGAAAUCCCCGGGCUCAACCCGGGAAAUGCAUCCGAAACUACCUCGCUAGAGUCCCGGAGAGGAAGGCAGAAUUCCCAGUGUAGGGGUGAAAUCCGUAGAUACUGGGAGGAAUACCAGCAGCGAAGGCGGCCUUCUGGACGGUGACUGACGCUCAGACGCGAAAGCGUGGGGAGCAAACAGG